Molecule: ribosomal RNA, 806 nt
Filed under: uncultured euryarchaeote
Lineage: Archaea; Methanobacteriati; Methanobacteriota
Description: bacterial SSU rRNA
Rfam family: Archaeal small subunit ribosomal RNA
Source: RNAcentral
CAUGCUAGUUGUACGAGUUCAGACUCGUAGCAGAUAGCUCAGUAACACGUGGCCAAACUACCCUAUGGAUCCGGACAACCUCGGGAAACUGAGGCUAAUCCGGAAUACGACUCUCAGCCUGGAAGUGGCGAGAGUCAGAAACGCCCCGGCGCCAUAGGAUGUGGCUGCGGCCGAUUAGGUAGACGGUGGGGUAACGGCCCACCGUGCCCAUAAUCGGUACGGGUUGUGAGAGCAAGAGCCCGGAGACGGUAUCUGAGACAAGAUACCGGGCCCUACGGGGCGCAGCAGGCGCGAAACCUUUACACUGCACGAAAGUGCGAUAAGGGGACUCCAAGUGCGAGGGCAUAUAGUCCUCGCUUUUCACUACCGUAAGGAGGUAGUAGAAUAAGUGCUGGGCAAGACCGGUGCCAGCCGCCGCGGUAAUACCGGCAGCACGAGUGAUGACCGCUCUUAUUGGGCCUAAAGCGUCCGUAGCUGGCCACGCAAGUCUAUCGGGAAAUCCGCGCGCUCAACGCGCGGGCGUCCGGUGGAAACUGUGUGGCUUGNGACCGGAAGAUCCAGAGGGUACGUCUGGGGUAGGAGUGAAAUCCCGUAAUCCUGGACGGACCACCGGUGGCGAAAGCGCUCUGGAAAGACGGAUCCGACGGUGAGGGACGAAAGCUCGGGUCACGAACCGGAUUAGAUACCCGGGUAGUCCGAGCUGUAAACGAUGUCUGCUAGGUGUGCCACAGGCUACGAGCCUGUGGUGUGCCGUAGGGAAGCCGUGAAGCAGACCGCCUGGGAGUACGUCCGCAGAUGAAACUUAA